CGGGGCGUAAUAUAGUGGUCGUAUACACCCUUCGGGAGGGUGAAGCCCGAGUUCGAUUCUCGGCGCCCCGA
Molecule: transfer RNA, 71 nt
Filed under: Candidatus Tayloriibacteriota bacterium
Lineage: Bacteria; Candidatus Tayloriibacteriota
Description: tRNA-Pro
Rfam family: tRNA
About the family: Transfer RNA (tRNA) molecules are approximately 80 nucleotides in length. Their secondary structure includes four short double-helical elements and three loops (D, anti-codon, and T loops). Further hydrogen bonds mediate the characteristic L-shaped molecular structure. tRNAs have two regions of fundamental functional importance: the anti-codon, which is responsible for specific mRNA codon recognition, and the 3' end, to which the tRNAs corresponding amino acid is attached (by aminoacyl-tRNA synthetases). tRNAs cope with the degeneracy of the genetic code in two manners: having more than one tRNA (with a specific anti-codon) for a particular amino acid; and 'wobble' base-pairing, i.e. permitting non-standard base-pairing at the 3rd anti-codon position.
Source: RNAcentral